This 56-nucleotide transfer RNA is filed under the name Coleolaelaps cf. liui XFX-2019. RNAcentral describes it as "tRNA-Val". The record is from RNAcentral. Lineage: Eukaryota; Metazoa; Arthropoda; Arachnida; Mesostigmata; Laelapidae.
UAAAGAGGAAGAAAAUCUCACUUACAAUGAGAAAGUGUAUAAAAUACUCUCUUUAA